GAUAGCACGUUGAGAAGGAGAAGUACGCUGCGCACCCCUUAUUAGAGAGGAUCACCACCGGCUGAAAGUGAUCCAGGUUAAGGCAAAGCUGAAAUGCACCUUUGAGUAUUUAACUGAAUUUGAAGUAGGUUAAAUCGAUUUGUCCACGUUACAGGACUUUAAGCGGAAAAAGUAUGGCUACUUUUUCAACCAGAGUGGAACCGCGCAUCUAGCGUCUCUGUC
Molecule: non-coding RNA, 222 nt
Filed under: Solibacillus silvestris
Lineage: Bacteria; Bacillati; Bacillota; Bacilli; Caryophanales; Caryophanaceae
Description: T-box sequence
Rfam family: T-box leader
About the family: Uncharged tRNA acts as the effector for transcription antitermination of genes in the T-box leader family. T-boxes are found upstream of many aminoacyl-tRNA synthetase genes and some amino acid biosynthetic genes usually in Gram-positive bacteria.
Source: RNAcentral